ACAGGGGAGCUAACAAAAGUUUGCUGAGAGGAAGUUGUGUGACUUCGACCCUUUAACCUGAUUCGGGUAAUACCGACGUAGGGAAGUGCACAUGUA
Molecule: non-coding RNA, 96 nt
Filed under: human gut metagenome
Description: TPP riboswitch (THI element)
Rfam family: TPP riboswitch aptamer (THI element)
About the family: Vitamin B(1) in its active form thiamin pyrophosphate (TPP) is an essential coenzyme that is synthesised by coupling of pyrimidine and thiazole moieties in bacteria. The previously detected thiamin-regulatory element, thi box was extended, resulting in a new, highly conserved RNA secondary structure, the THI element, which is widely distributed in eubacteria and also occurs in some archaea.
Source: RNAcentral